GAUGUGCUUUGAGAUUGUCGCACUUAGUAAUCGCGAUGCUGGCUUCCAACGUGCCUCCGGCCCGUCUGAAACACGGACCAAGGAGUCUAACGUAUGUGCGAGUGUGUGAGUGGCAAACUUAUACGCGUAAUGAAAGUGAGGCCGUAUGGCCAUGUUGGGGUCACCAACAACCGACCUUGAUCUUCGGUGAAAGGUUUGAGUAUGAGCAUAUCCGUUAGGACCCGAAAGAUGGUGAACUAUGCCUGAGCAGGGUGAAGCCAGGGGAAACUCUGGUGGAGGCUCGUAGCGAUACUGACGUGCAAAUCGUUCGUCAGACUUGGGUAUAGGGGCGAAAGACUAAUCGAACCAUCUAGUAGCUGGUUCCCUCCGAAGUUUCCCUCAGGAUAGCUAGAGUCUUUAUCAGUUUUGUCAGGUAAAGCGAAUGAUUAGAGGUUCCGGGGAAGUAACUUCCUCGACCUAUUCUCAAACUUUAAAUGGGCAAGAUCCAGUAGUUACUUAAUUGAACUAUUGGGGUCAAUGAGACGACUCUAAGUGGGCCAUUUUUGGUAAGCAGAACUGGCGAUGAGGGAUGAACCUAACGCUCGGUUAAGGUGCUAAACUGCUCGCUCAUCAGAUACCACAAAGGGUGUUGGUCGAUCUUAACAGCAGGACGGUGGUCAUGGAAGUCGAAAUCCGCUAAGGAGUGUGUAACAACUCACCUGCCGAAUCGACUAGCCCCGAAAAUGGAUAGCGCUGAAGCGAGUGACCGAUACCGGGCCAUUGUUGCAAGAUAAUUGGCAACAAUGAGUAGGAGGGCGUGGGGGUUGUGAAGAAGCUUGGACGUGAGUCUGAGUGAAACAGCUUCCAGUGCAGAUCUUGGUGGUAGUAGCAAGUAUUCAAUAAGAGAACAUUGAAGGCCGAAGUGGGGAAGGGUUCCAUGUGAACAGCACUUGGACAUGGGUUAGCCGAUCCUGAGAGACAGGUUAAAUUCCAUCGGAUUGGAGCUUUGGCUCUGUUUCUCGAAAGGGAAGCUGGUUAGUAUUCCAGCGCCGAGACGUGGAUAAUAUGUGGCAACA
Molecule: non-coding RNA, 1055 nt
Filed under: Perkinsus marinus ATCC 50983
Lineage: Eukaryota; Perkinsozoa; Perkinsida; Perkinsidae
Description: Eukaryotic large subunit ribosomal RNA
Rfam family: Eukaryotic large subunit ribosomal RNA
Source: Rfam by way of RNAcentral